AGUAAUGAAGAAAAAUAGUUUAUAUUAUUGUUUGUCUCAUAGCAGUUGUUCGUUUGCAAUGCAGAGAAAACUUAUUUGAAAUGGAUUCUCAAGAUACAAAGUAUACAUGGCCCUAGCGCUCCUCUGCCUUUUCUCAAAUCCAUUGAGGUGUUUAUCUGUUAACAGAAGUGUUGGUCAUUGGAGAAUUCAGGUGAGCUUUGUUGCUGUGUAUUUUGGAUCUCAAUGCAUUAGUGUGCAUUCAUGUGUUUUGAUGGUGUUCUACUGUUUAUUGAUUGGUUCUUUUACAUGGGGAUAUUAUAAAAUUGUCCAUGAAAAUAUGUAUCCUUUUGGAAAUAUGAUAUAAUCUUUCACUAAAUUAUGGCUUCAGUUUGUAUUAUCUUUUAUGUGCAUCAUGAUAAUUCAAAACAUGCUUGGGUUGGGUUUCUGCGAUGCUACUAAAAUGAAGUCACUAGUAGAAAUACACAUAUGAAAAUAUGAUUUAGAUAAUAGCUUGUACUAAGAAAUAUGAUACUCUACUUCGAUAACUCCUUGCCUUAUGCAUAACCGUUCUUCAUUUUGCAGCAUUCCUGGUUAUUAUGAGGCAUUCUGGAAGGAGUUGGAUGGUGUCAAGCAAAUCUCGAAGAACAGAAAGCAAAUCUGGAAGAACAGAAAGGAACUCAAAUAGAUUAAUAAUCAUGUAUCGAUGAAUUACAUUCUUUCCUAGAAGUGUCAUAGCCAUUGUAAAUAAUUUAUGUAAACGUUUGUAAAUAAUUUAUGUAUCUCUCUACUAUUUUGGUGAA
Long non-coding RNA from Asparagus officinalis (garden asparagus), 779 nucleotides. RefSeq lists it as uncharacterized. The transcript is spliced from 2 exons. Lineage: Eukaryota; Viridiplantae; Streptophyta; Magnoliopsida; Asparagales; Asparagaceae. The record is from RefSeq and is a predicted model, not a curated record.